This is a long non-coding RNA of Physella acuta, 356 nucleotides long. RefSeq lists it as uncharacterized. NCBI's taxonomy places the organism in Eukaryota, Metazoa, Mollusca, Gastropoda, Physidae. The record is from RefSeq and is a predicted model, not a curated record.
UUUGAUUAACAAAAAUAUAAAGCGUGUUUGGACAGAAACAACCCAACUAUAUAUCUUAAACCAUUUUCUUGAAAGCAGUUUAAUUCUACUCUGUAAUUUAACUUAGAUAUCUCAUAAAAAUGAAGACUGUAGUUCUAGUUCUUCUGGUAUGUCUUGCAAGUCUCGUAGCUGUAUCAGAAGGUUGUUGUAAAACGAUGAAUGGUCUAUGCAGUAAUACAGAGAUUUGCUGCAGCAAAUUAACUUGCGAACAAGAUGAAAAGGACCCCGGCACAAAAGUAUGCAAGCCAGUACCGGGAAAAGAGUAAAUCAAUUAUAAGAAGAAGAUCCAGUACAAAAUAAAAAUGUGUAAUAGACAA